RNAcentral lists this ribosomal RNA (93 nucleotides) under uncultured bacterium. Its description in RNAcentral is "partial 16S ribosomal RNA". It matches the Rfam family "Bacterial small subunit ribosomal RNA", at positions 844 to 935 of the family's 1533-position model. The record is from RNAcentral.
UAUCGAAGCUAACGCGUUAAGUUCGCCGCCUGGGAAGUACGGUCGCAAGACUGAGACUCAAAGGAAUUGACGGGGCCCGCAGGGAUGAGAUGG